CCUACGUUGGGCUGCAGUGGGGAAUAUUGGACAAUGGGCGAAAGCCUGAUCCAGCCAUGCCGCUUGUGUGAAGAAGGCCUUCGGGUUGUAAAGCACUUUCAGUGGGGAAGAAAGCCUUGGGGCUAAUACCCUCGAGGAAGGACAUCACCCACAGAAGAAGCACCGGCUAACUCCGUGCCAGCAGCCGCGGUAAUACGGAGGGUGCGAGCGUUAAUCGGAAUUACUGGGCGUAAAGCGCGCGUAGGCGGUCUGAUAAGCCGGUUGUGAAAGCCCCGGGCUCAACCUGGGAACGGCAUCCGGAACUGUCAGGCUAGAGUGCAGGAGAGGAAGGUAGAAUUCCCGGUGUAGCGGUGAAAUGCGUAGAGAUCGGGAGGAAUACCAGUGGCGAAGGCGGCCUUCUGGACUGACACUGACGCUGAGGUGCGAAAGCGUGGGUAGCAAACAGGAUUAGAUACCCGGGUAGUC
This 465-nucleotide ribosomal RNA is filed under the name Vreelandella stevensii. Its description in RNAcentral is "partial 16S ribosomal RNA". It matches the Rfam family "Bacterial small subunit ribosomal RNA", at positions 338 to 795 of the family's 1533-position model. Lineage: Bacteria; Pseudomonadati; Pseudomonadota; Gammaproteobacteria; Oceanospirillales; Halomonadaceae. The record is from RNAcentral.